CACCUCCCGGACGGGGCGGCUGGCCUGGCGGGGCUGACCCCCACCUCCCUCCCGGAUGGGGUGGCUGCCGGGCAGAGACGCUCCUCACUUCCCAGACGGGGUCACGGCCGGGUAGAGGCGCUCCUCACAUCCCAGACGGGGCGGCGGGGCAGAGGCGCUCCCCACAUCUCAGACGAUGGGCAGCCGGGCAGAGACGCUCCUCACUUCCUAGAUGGGAUGGCGGCCAGGCAGAGGCUGCAAUCUCGGCACUUUGGGAGGCCAAGGCAGGCGGCUGGGAGGUGGAGGUUGUAGCGAGCCGAGAUCACGCCACUGCACUCCAGCCUGGGCACCAUUGAGCACUGAGUGAACCAGACUCCGUCUGCAAUCCCGGCACCUCGGGAGGCCGGAGGCCGAGGCUGGCGGAUCACUCGCAGUUAGGAGCUGGAGACCAGCCCGGCCAACACAGCGAAACCCCGUCUCCACCAAAAAAAUACGAAAACCAGUCAGGCGUGGUGGCGCGCCUGCAAUCGCAGGCACUCGGCAGGCUGAGGCAGGAGAAUCAGGCAGGGAGGCUGCAGUGAGCCGAGAUGGCAGCAGUACAGUCCAGCUUCGGCUCGGCAUCAGUGGGAGACGGUGGAAAGAGAGGGAGAGGGAGACUGUGGGGAGAGGGAGAGGGAGAGGGGGGAGAGGGAGAGGGAGAGGGAGGAGCCAUAAUUCUUGUAUUUGGAAUCAGUCUAGUUCCCAAGAACUUCAGUUUGAUGCUCUUCAAGUUCUACCUUCACUAUAGGAUGUGGUUUUCAAGAUGAAAGUUACGACCCACCAAUGGGUUUUGAAAUAAAUUUAGUAGGCCACAACCAGUAUUUUUUUUAACAAAGGAAUCGAAUAGAAAAGAAAGUAUCAGGAUAUAUAACACAUGGCAAGGAUGAUAAUAUGUAAAACUUUGGUUUCAAAGACAAUAUGUGUGUCUAUUUAUAUAUCUAUUUCACACCAUAUAUGCUGACCUACACACCUACAUGUUUGUGUGUACUUGGUUAUGAUAAAAAUUCAUUAAAUGAUGGUAAAAAAAAGUUUGAAAAAACAAAUAAUUCAAUCUAAAAAUGAGAAAAGAAUCUCAAUAGACAUCUCUCAAAAGAAGGCCUACAAAUGGUCAACAAGAAUAUGAAAACAUGUUCAACAUCUCUAUUAGGGAAAUGUAAAUUAAAAUCACAUGAAAUAUCAUCCAACUCCCAUUAGAAUGGCUGCCAUCAGAAAAACAAAAUAACAACAGCAACAACAACAAAAAUCGAAUGUUGGUGAGGAUGUGGAGAAAAGGAAAUUCUUAUAUUACAUUCUUGGUAAGAAUGUAAAUUAGUACAGCCAUUAUAGAAAACAAUAUGGAGGUUUCUCAAAAACCUAAAAAUAUAACUACCAUAUGAUUCAGCAAUCCCACUACUUCCCCAAAGGGAAGGAAAUCAAUAUAUGGAAAAGACAUCUGCACUCCCAUGUUUAUUCCAGCACUAUUCACAAUAGCCAAGGUAUGGAGUCAACCUAAAUGUCCAUCAACAGAAGAAUGAAUAAAGAAAAUGUGGCAUGUAUACACAAUGGAGUACUAUUCAGCCAUAUAAAAGGAAUGAAAUUGGUUGGGGGGGCAUGGUGGCUUACGCCUGUAAUAGCAGCACUUUGGGAGGCCGAGGUGGGAGGAUCACCUGAGGUCAGGAGUUCAAGACCAACCUGACCAACGUGGAGAAACCCCAUCUCUACUAAAAAUACACAAUUAGCCAGGCGUGGUGGCACAUGCCUGUAAUCCCAGCUACUCGGGAGGCUGAGGCAGGAGAAUCACUUGAACCUGGGAGGCAGAGGUUGCGGUGAGCCGAGAUCACACCAUUGCACUCCAGCCUGGGCGACAAGAGCGAAACUCCGUCUCAGAAAAAAAAAAAGGAAUGAAAUCCUGAAUCCCGUCAUUUGUGACAACAUGGAUGAGCUUGGAGGACAUUAUGGUAAGUGAAAUAAACCAGGAACAGAAAAUAAAUACUGCAUGUUCUCUCUCAUACAUGAGAGCUAAAAAAAAGUUGGUGUCUAAGAAGCAGAGAGUAGACUAGUGGUUAUUAGAGGCUGGGAAGCAUAGUGGAGAGGUUGGUUAACAGACUUAACAGACACAAAAUUACAGAUAGAUAGGGGAAUAAGUUCUAAGUGUUCUAUAGAACUGUAGAGUGAAUAUAGUUAACAAUAUUUUAUUGUAUAUUUUUAAAAAUCUAGAAGAGAGGAUUUUGAACGUUCCCAACACAAAGAAAAGAUGAAUGUUUGCGGUAAUAGAUACGUCAAUUACCCUGAUUUGGUUAUUACGCAUUAUAUACAUGUAUUCAAAUAGUGCUCUGUAUCCCAUAACAUGUACAAUUAUUAUAUGUCAACUAAAAAUAAAAGAAAAAACAUUUGAAGGCUUGUGCUGUAUGUUUUGAGCCAUUCUAAUGCCUGAAUCACUUACAAAGAGAUGCAGAGCGUGAUGAAGCUAGUCUGUACUGGGAAAAGAAAUGGCUAGAGCCAAAAAAAGAAAGGGACUUAUGGAAGCAAACUCACAGUGGCUACUCUGCUCCCUACCAUUGCCUCUGACGAGUUGAGGUCCCCAGGAGGUCUCCUCAUACACAUCGUUCUUCCCUGAUUGCCUGUGAGAUAACUCUUUCCUUUCUUUCCUAUCUGUAUACACAGCAUGAGUUUCCAUAAGCUAAAUGGGACAUAACAUGAUUGAUUAACUAGGGGACAUGUGUAGACCCUCUUCUGACCCAUACAGAAGUAGAGUGUGUGGGCAGAGAGAAAGGCCUGUUGUGUAAGUGCCACAGCCUCUUUGUUGUGCUAAAAGCAAUGGAAAUGUCUAAGAAGUAUUGUGAUGGCCUAAGACGUCAUUCUUGAGCAAGAGCUAGAUGGAAUCACAUGCCAUAUUUUUACGUUUACAAUUUCAGUGUUCUAGCUAUAUACUUAAAACUAUAAACAAUGCUUUUGUUACAGAGAUUCCUGCAGUCCCCAUGCCCCUCUUUUUUUUGUUAACUGAAACAAAAGUAUGUAUAAUGCUGUUUUUGUUAAAGUAAGGUUGCCUGGGCACACCACCCUCACAUCAUUGCAGAACGCACUAAACUAGAGCCUGCCGUCGUUUGGGCCAACCCAACGGAAUUGCUCUCCCUUGUAAUCAUAAGGACCUAAAACUGAACAGUGUGUCAGAAUCUAGCUAUCAAGUUGAAAUAGGUUAAUCUGAUCUUAUCACCAGCAGACGCAUCUCAGUCAUCUGGAAGAAAGUGCUGUUACAAGAAGUAACUCUGGGUAUGCGCUUCAGGAAUGCAGUUGUGGAAACCAUGUUUGCGGCUGCUUUAAACUGUUUCCCAGGAGUCAAGGAAAAUUCAACAAUCUGAGACCAAAAAGGUAUCUUCGGCACAGUCUUCCUUGGCACAGCCGUGGAGAACAGAGCCAGGGCUUUGAGUCAGAGGAAUUGGGUUGAAACCUGCCUGUAUUGGUUGCAACCUGGUGACCUUGGAUAUCCUUUUUAUUCUCUGAGCCUUAUAUACCCCCUGGAUAAAAUAUAUCUGAUGAAACCUGCUGUUGCAUGUUCUGGGAUUUAAAUGAAUAACACCGUACCUAAAGCAUUUGGUGCAGGGUUAGGACGUGUAGAAGCUUAAGUUGUUAUUCUUCUUCUUAACAUUUUCCUGGAACUCCGGUGAGGCUCCCCGAGCAUGGGACUUUUUAGCUCCGUCUGACGACUGAUCCCUGCAGUUAACUGAUCAUUCUACAAAGCCACCAUUUGCUGAAUCCAUUGCCAAAGAAUCGAUACAGGUGAUAUCUCAGCCCAAGCUGCUAUAUCAAAAUACUAUUGACUGAGUGGCUUAAGCCACAGACAUUUAUUUCUUACAGUUGUGGAGGCUGGGAAGCCCAAGAUGAAAGUGCUGGCAGAUCCUGUGUCUAGUGAGGGCUGUCUUCCUGGUUGGCAGAUAGCCGUCUUCUUGCUGUAUCCUCGCAUGGUGGAGAGAGAGAUCUCAUGUUUCUCCAUUUCUUUAAUGAGGGCAUUCAGCCCAUCAUGAGGGCCCCACCCUCACCCUCAUGACUUAAUCUAACCCAGCCCCUACCUCCAAGUACCAUGAGGGUUAGGGUUUCAGCAUAUAAAUUGAGGGGAGGAAGACACAAACACUUAGUCUAUAGCAGGUGAAUUGGCUGCUUCCAUCCUGGCUUGGAACUUCAGACAUAGAAGCCUUGGGACUUUCUCAGGACUUUCUCCAGAUCUGACUCAUGCUCAGCAAACAAGCAUCUCUGUGGAUCACGUGACCUUAGCCAGGGAUGUUGGUGAAACUGUGUGUUGGUCUAGGUACCUAGCCCAUGCUAGGUGCUCAUCGAAUAGCUUUAGUGGGUGACUGUGACUGAAGAGGCAUCCUGGGCUGUGCUUUCACACCACCAGUGCCAAUGCUAUGCAUUUGCUCUUUUUCUAGCAUUUUUUUUUUUUUUUUUUUUUGAGAUGGAAUCUUGCUCUGUCUCCCAGGCUGGAGUGCAGUGGCAUGAUCUUGGCUCACUGCAACCUCUGCCUCCCAGGUUCAAGCAAUUCUCCUGCCUCAGUCUCCCAAGUAGCUGGGAUUACAGAUGUGCACUACCAUGCCCUACUGAUUUUUGUAUUUUUAGUAGAGACGGGGUUUCACCGUGUUGGCCAGGCUGGUCUUGAACUCCCGACCUUAGGUGAUCCACCCACCUCGGCCUCCCAAAGUGCUGGGAUUACAGGCAUGAGCCACCGUGCCUGGCCUUUAGGAUGUUUAUAUGCUCUCUAUGCACCAUGAUAUUUGCGCCCUGGCGGAGCAGUCUCAGUUCCACUUCUGAGCUGGGAUGAGUAUUUAGCUCCUUCCCCAUCUGAUGCGAACUAGGCAACACUACAGAGCCAGAGGCAGAAAACAGGAGGGCUUCUCACCUGUCCUUGUCCAUGAAUAGCCAGUGCUCUGCUGAGGACUCCAGGAACCCACUCUUCAUGAUCAGCCUCAAUUGGCAGUGGCCAUCUCCUCUGGCAGCAAGCACAAGUGGACUUCUCUUCCUGCCCACAUCUGCUAGAUGAGGGUGACCCUCUGGAGAGAGGCUGGGAGAAGCUAGCCAGCCUGUAACCAGUGGGCUAGUGUGUGUACAUAUUGUAUGCAUGCUGGGGGACAGAAGAGGGUGUGGGGAAGGGCAACUUGCUUUCCCCAGGUGAAGGAGUAAGGAAAUGUUUCCUUCCCAACCUUCUUUCUAGACCAGCUAAUACUCCAGUUUCACCCUUUGGGCAAGUCAUUUAUCUGUCUGAGCCUGAACUUCCUCAUGUAUAUGAAAGAUGGAGAAGACCAUUGUAGAAAUUCAUGUUAUUAGUAUUCCAAGCAAAAGAGCUAAAGGUUGGUCUCUCAAAUUCCUACCCCUUUGAAGACCGAUGGAUAAGAUUCUUUAAGUUUGCUGCAGGUGAUUAACUAUGCAAGGGCUAAAGACAGCAGAACUCUUGCCAAAGUAGCGUGCCACGGUAAUUCUGCCAUGACCUAUGUAAGCAGAAAUGGGUGGAUAAAUAGUUGCAGACUAUCUACAGAUUUCCGUCUUCCAAGUCUUCCAGGCAGAGGCUACAAAAUAAAAUACCCUUAAGAGCCAGGCAGGUAAUGAGAAUGAGUGGUGCAUGCCGGGGGUUUGCAUAGUAAAUAUUAGCACUAUUCCUUGCUUCCACAAAGGCGCUUUCUGCACUUGCUGGUAAAACACACAGUCCUCUGGGUAUAUGUUUUGUUUUCUCACAUUUUGUAGAUUCAUGAGCACAGAGAAAUAUUUCUGCACUACAAGCAAAACACUAAAAUAUAGGCUGAAGUAGCAACAGUGGAAGGAGCCCUGGAGAAUUGGGAAGCAUGUACUCUACCCAAAGAGGACCUAAGCUGUGCAACUCCAGCUCACCGUUCAGGGAGGGGAGUAAUGUGGGCCCAGUGUAGCCAGAACCUCUACUUCUUUAUUUAAAAGAAGCUGGAAAUCCAGAUUUUUAAAAACGUAGAGUCUCCUGCUUUUGCUGUUUUUCUUUUUCUUCUUUUUCCCUUUUAAUGGUGCACAUGUAUUUUUUAAAACUUUGUGCACACGAAAUAAAACCCACCUCCUGGUGGCCUGUCUGCCUCUUACCUUCCACAUACCACACUGAAUUUUGAAGGGUUCUCGCUGAAUUGCUCCAAAUCUGACAUUCUGGGUAACCCUCCUCAUGCAGCUGGGAGCCUUUGGAAUCUUCACAACCAGGAGGGCUGUGUCUUUGACCUUGAUUUAGGCCUUGUGUCUUCAGGGCAUGCCAAGGGGCCGGUGCAGGCUGGACAGAGGUGUGAUCUCCUUUUCUCAGCAUAAUUUCCUUCCUGGGGUCUUCAUAUCGCCCUGAGGCAGGAGCUGGGGUGCUGGCUCCUUCUGAAGGUCGCUUUUCUGGCCUUUGCCUGGG
Molecule: long non-coding RNA, 6388 nt
Filed under: Homo sapiens (human)
Lineage: Eukaryota; Metazoa; Chordata; Mammalia; Primates; Hominidae
Description: HSALNT0058406
Source: RNAcentral